AACGCUGGCGGCGUGCCUAAUACAUGCAAGUCGAGCGAAAAUUUGAGAGCUUGCUCUCAAAUUUUAGCGGCGGACGGGUGAGUAACACGUGGGCAACCUACCUUGUAGAUUGGGAUAAUCCCGGGAAACCGGGGCUAAUACCGAUAAUCCAUUUUGCUUCAUGGCGAGAUGUUAAAAGCGGCUUCGGCUGUCACUACGAGAUGGGCCCGCGGCGCAUUAGCUAGUUGGUAGGGUAAUGGCCUACCAAGGCGACGAUGCGUAGCCGACCUGAGAGGGUGAUCGGCCACACUGGGACUGAGACACGGCCCAGACUCCUACGGGAGGCAGCAGUAGGGAAUCUUCCACAAUGGACGAAAGUCUGAUGGAGCAACGACCGCGUGAGUGAAGAAGGUUUUCGGUAUCGUAAAACUCUGUUGUAAGGGAAGAACACGUACGAGAGUAACUGCUCGUACCUUGACGGUACCUUAUUAGAAAGCCACGGCUAACUACGUG
Molecule: ribosomal RNA, 492 nt
Filed under: uncultured bacterium
Lineage: Bacteria
Description: bacterial SSU rRNA
Rfam family: Bacterial small subunit ribosomal RNA
Source: RNAcentral